UGGGGGGUGGUGUAAUAGGUAGCACUACGGGUUUUGGUCCCGUCAGAGCGGGUUCGAGUCCUGCCCCCCCAGCCA
RNAcentral lists this transfer RNA (75 nucleotides) under Acidimicrobiia bacterium. RNAcentral's name for it is "tRNA-Gln". It matches the Rfam family "tRNA". From Rfam's summary of the family: Transfer RNA (tRNA) molecules are approximately 80 nucleotides in length. Their secondary structure includes four short double-helical elements and three loops (D, anti-codon, and T loops). The record is from RNAcentral. Lineage: Bacteria; Bacillati; Actinomycetota; Acidimicrobiia. RNAcentral also lists the same sequence under 1 other name.